This 349-nucleotide ribosomal RNA is filed under the name uncultured Actinomycetes bacterium. Its description in RNAcentral is "bacterial SSU rRNA". It matches the Rfam family "Bacterial small subunit ribosomal RNA", at positions 1046 to 1392 of the family's 1533-position model. The record is from RNAcentral. Lineage: Bacteria; Bacillati; Actinomycetota; Actinomycetes.
UGGCUGUCGUCAGCUCGUGUCGUGAGAUGUUGGGUUAAGUCCCGCAACGAGCGCAACCCUUGUCUCAUGUUGCCAGCGGGUAAUGCCGGGGACUCGUGAGAGACUGCCGGGGUCAACUCGGAGGAAGGUGGGGAUGACGUCAAGUCAUCAUGCCCCUUAUGUCCAGGGCUUCACACAUGCUACAAUGGCCGGUACAAAGGGCUGCGAAGCCGUGAGGUGGAGCGAAUCCCUGCAAAGCCGGUCUCAGUUCGGAUCGGGGUCUGCAACUCGACCCCGUGAAGUCGGAGUCGCUAGUAAUCGCAAAUCAGCAACGCUGCGGUGAAUACGUUCCCGGGCCUUGUACACACCG